This 314-nucleotide ribosomal RNA is filed under the name uncultured eukaryote. RNAcentral describes it as "partial large subunit ribosomal RNA". It matches the Rfam family "Eukaryotic large subunit ribosomal RNA", at positions 40 to 350 of the family's 3401-position model. The record is from RNAcentral.
AUAUUAUUAAGCGGAGGAAAAGAAACUAACAAGGAUUCCCCUAGUAACGGCGAGUGAAGCGGGAAAAGCUCAAAAUGAAAAUCGGGGUUCUUCGAACUUCGAGUUGUAAUCUAAAGGCUGGUUUUCUGCGUGCGAUCCGGGUAUAACUCUUUUGAAACAAGGGAUCAUAGAGGGUGAAAAUCCCGUCUUUGACCCGGACCCCGCCGCGUACGAUACCUGUCCAAAGAGUCGAGUAGCUUGGGAUUGCUGCUCAAAAUGGGUGGUAAACCCCAUCUAAAGCUAAAUACUGGCCGGAGACCGAUAGCGCACAAGUA